GGGAACCUGACGCCUGGGCGGUGGGUCUGGACGCCCGGGCGACGACGGCGCUGUCCUAAAAAUUCUGAUCCGUAGCUCAAGUGGGCCCCGCCCAUUUUCACCUCUUUUACCUUCAAGGGUUUCGCCCAAGCCUUCACUCUCAGAUUUCCCUUAAUCUAGCCCUCCAAACACUUCCCCAAAGUACUUUCUUCACUCUUCCCUUCUCCUACUUCACCAAACCCUAAGUGUCCAUCUCUUGUGAAGCCAAAUCUGGGUUUUGAAAAGAUUGAUCUUGCUUUCUAUCUAAUUAAUUAUGUGCUUCCAUC
RNAcentral lists this long non-coding RNA (305 nucleotides) under Vigna radiata. RNAcentral describes it as "long non-coding RNA (VRAD_LNC006062)". The record is from RNAcentral. Lineage: Eukaryota; Viridiplantae; Streptophyta; Magnoliopsida; Fabales; Fabaceae.